RNAcentral lists this ribosomal RNA (253 nucleotides) under uncultured bacterium. RNAcentral describes it as "partial 16S ribosomal RNA". It matches the Rfam family "Bacterial small subunit ribosomal RNA", at positions 524 to 776 of the family's 1533-position model. The record is from RNAcentral.
UACGUAGGGGGCAAGCGUUGUCCGGAAUUAUUGGGCGUAAAGAGCGUGUAGGCGGUCCGGUAAGUCAGCUGUGAAAGUCAAGGGCUCAACCCUUGAAAGCCGGUUGAUACUGUCGGGCUAGAGUCCGGAAGAGGCGAGUGGAAUUCCCGGUGUAGCGGUGAAAUGCGCAGAUAUCGGGAGGAACACCAAUGGCGAAGGCAGCUCGCUGGGACGGUACUGACGCUGAGGAGCGAAAGCAUGGGGAGCGAACAGG